UGCAUAUCAAUAAGCGGAGGAAAAGAAACUAACAAGGAUUCCCCUAGUAACGGCGAGUGAAGCGGGAAGAGCUCAAAUUUGUAAUCUGGCACUUUCAGUGUCCGAGUUGUAAUCUCGAGAAGUGUUUUCCGCGCCGGACCGCAUACAAGUCUGUUGGAAUACAGCGUCAUAGUGGUGAGAACCCCGUAACUGAUGCGGAUGCCCGGUGCUUUGUGAUACACUUUCGAAGAGUCGAGUUGUUUGGGAAUGCAGCUCAAAUUGGGUGGUAAAUUCCAUCUAAAGCUAAAUAUUGGCGAGAGACCGAUAGCGAACAAGUACCGUGAGGGAAAGAUGAAAAGCACUUUGGAAAGAGAGUUAACAGUACGUGAAAUUGUUGGAAGGGAAACGCUUGAAGUCAGACUUGCUAUUUGGAAUUCAGCCGCAAGGUGUACUUUUCAAUUCGCAGGCCAGCAUCAGUUUUCGGGGGUGGAAAAGGGUAGAGAGAAGGUAGCAAUUUCGGUUGUGUUAUAGCUCUUUGCUGGAUUCNUCCUUGGGGACUGAGGAACGCAGCACGCUUUUUGCAAGGCUUUCGAGCUUUUCGUGCUUAGGAUGCUGGUGGAAUGGCUUUAAACGACCCGUCUUGAAACACGGAC
Molecule: ribosomal RNA, 632 nt
Filed under: Phenoliferia aff. psychrophenolica GU64
Lineage: Eukaryota; Fungi; Basidiomycota; Microbotryomycetes; Kriegeriales; Kriegeriaceae
Description: eukaryotic LSU rRNA
Rfam family: Eukaryotic large subunit ribosomal RNA
Source: RNAcentral